This 283-nucleotide long non-coding RNA is filed under the name Elaeis guineensis (African oil palm). RNAcentral describes it as "long non-coding RNA (EGUI_LNC013884)". The record is from RNAcentral. Lineage: Eukaryota; Viridiplantae; Streptophyta; Magnoliopsida; Arecales; Arecaceae.
GCUUCAGUACGCUUCCACUUGCGAGUACCCGAUAUUUUUUCAAAUUGAAUAUUUUCAAUAACUUCAAAUUGUUCUAAAACUUCUACUCCACUUAACUCCUUAUGUGACAGUUGCCGGUCGGACUUACCAUCAAAGUAUUGGUUGUAACAGGUCCUUCAAGAAUGAUUACCAGGUAAAAACCAUCGAUGACCCGUGAAGCAUAUUUUCGUCCAUGCUUUAAAUGUAAAGAGGAUACAUCCUUAUUGCAUAUUGGACAUGCUAGAUAUCCUUUAGUGCUCCACAC